This 341-nucleotide ribosomal RNA is filed under the name uncultured Microbacterium sp. RNAcentral's name for it is "bacterial SSU rRNA". It matches the Rfam family "Bacterial small subunit ribosomal RNA", at positions 963 to 1304 of the family's 1533-position model. Lineage: Bacteria; Bacillati; Actinomycetota; Actinomycetes; Micrococcales; Microbacteriaceae. The record is from RNAcentral.
GAAGAACCUUACCAAGGCUUGACAUAUACGAGAACGGGCCAGAAAUGGUCAACUCUUUGGACACUCGUAAACAGGUGGUGCAUGGUUGUCGUCAGCUCGUGUCGUGAGAUGUUGGGUUAAGUCCCGCAACGAGCGCAACCCUCGUUCUAUGUUGCCAGCACGUAAUGGUGGGAACUCAUGGGAUACUGCCGGGGUCAACUCGGAGGAAGGUGGGGAUGACGUCAAAUCAUCAUGCCCCUUAUGUCUUGGGCUUCACGCAUGCUACAAUGGCCGGUACAAUGGGCAGCGAUACCGUGAGGUGGAGCGAAUCCCAAAAAGCCGGUCCCAGUUCGGAUUGAGGU